Molecule: ribosomal RNA, 525 nt
Filed under: marine metagenome
Description: bacterial SSU rRNA
Rfam family: Archaeal small subunit ribosomal RNA
Source: RNAcentral
AGUACGGUCGCAAGGCUGAAACUUAAAGGAAUUGGCGGGGGAGCACCGCAACCUGAGGAUUGUGCGGUUUAAUUGGAUUCAACGCCGGAAAACUCACCAUAGCCGACGGACAGAUGAAGGCCAGCGUAACGAGCUUGCCGGAUUGUUCGAGAGGUAGUGCAUGGCCGUCGUCAGUUCGUACCGCAAGGCGUUCUGUUAAGUCAGAUAACGAACGAGACCCUCAUCCCUAUUUGCUAACCCGAUCUCCGGAUCAGGCGCACUAUAGGGAGACCGCUGGCGCGAAGUCAGAGGAAGGCGAGGGCAACGGUAGGUCAGUAUGCUCCGAAUGCUAUGGGCUACACGCGCAAUACAAAGGACGGGACAAUGGGCUGCUGCUCCGAAAGGAACGAUGGCUAUCCCGAAACCCGUUCGUAGUUCGGAUUGAGGGCUGUAACUCGCCCUCAUGAAGCUGGAUUAGGUAGUAAUCGCGUCUCAAAAAGGCGCGGUGAAUAUGCCCCUGCUCCUUGCACACACCGCCCGUCAAAC